Molecule: ribosomal RNA, 220 nt
Filed under: uncultured bacterium
Lineage: Bacteria
Description: partial 16S ribosomal RNA
Rfam family: Bacterial small subunit ribosomal RNA
Source: RNAcentral
UACGUAGGGGGCGAGCGUUGUCCGGAGUACUGGGCGUAAAGCGCACGCAGGCGGUCUGCUAAGUUUGGAGUGACAGUUGGUGGCUUAACUGCCAAAGUGCUUCGAAAACUGACAGACUUGAGGGCUUCAGAGGGACACGGAAUUCCGGGUGGAGUGGUGAAAUGCGUAGAGAUCCGGAGGAACACCAAAGGCGAAGGCAGUGUCCUGGGGAGUACCUGAC